Non-coding RNA from Caenorhabditis remanei, 77 nucleotides. Lineage: Eukaryota; Metazoa; Nematoda; Chromadorea; Rhabditida; Rhabditidae. The record is from Rfam.
AUCCAUUGCCCUACUAUUCGCAUCUCAUCACUUCCUCCAGUAAUAUAAGGAUGAGAUCGUUCAGUACGGCAAUGGAA